CCUUUGACGUUAGCGGCGGACGGGUGAGUAACACGUGGGUAACCUACCUAUAAGACUGGGAUAACUUCGGGAAACCGGAGCUAAUACCGGAUAAUAUUUCGAACCGCAUGGUUCGAUAGUGAAAGGUGGUUUUGCUAUCACUUAUAGAUGGACCCGCGCCGUAUUAGCUAGUUGGUAAGGUAACGGCUUACCAAGGCGACGAUACGUAGCCGACCUGAGAGAGUGAUCGGCCACACUGGAACUGAGACACGGUCCAGACUCCUACGGGAGGCAGCAGAC
Molecule: ribosomal RNA, 279 nt
Filed under: uncultured Staphylococcus sp.
Lineage: Bacteria; Bacillati; Bacillota; Bacilli; Caryophanales; Staphylococcaceae
Description: partial 16S ribosomal RNA
Rfam family: Bacterial small subunit ribosomal RNA
Source: RNAcentral